CCUCUACUUGCCCUCUCCUUUGCCUUGCAUCUGAGUCGGUCAGCGCGAUAUCAAAACCUGGCGGCCUGGGCCUCGCCGUCGCCGAGGAAAGCGGCUUGCCCUUUAGCGGCGUCGGCGCGGGCGAGCAGAGGGCGAUCCUUCUCCACCCAUGGCGUGUGGUGGUCUGCGUCUAUCAUCAUAGCAUGGACGUAGGCGCAAGCGUAACCUCAGGACCCAGACGUACAUACAAGUCCGUGAGAGAUGUUGCGGCCGUGGAUGGAGUGGCGGCCGUGGAUGGAGUAACCUCAUCCCAGCGUGUCCACGGGCUUCGUACCGGUCGGUGCCAUCGCGACGCCGUAGCCAUCUCAAUGAUGGGAGCAGAACGAGAAUUGGUGGCUCGUUCGCUGGCAACACGUUUUGAGGCUUGCCCUGCUACAUGUCAGAAUUCGCCACGGCCAGUCCAGGGCUUCAACUUCGUAUUGUUUUGAAGGGAUCCAUGAGUUGUUGUUUGAGUUAGAUCGAACCGAUCGAUUUGUAACGCUCCACUAUUGCAUUCUUUUGACGGUCCCAAGGAAGACAUGAGGUAUAUUUGACAAAGAGGAAGCAACUACUGUCAUCGGUGUCCUCUACUAAAUUCCGAUCUUUGCCACCUCCCUCUUAAGAUCUCCCAUGCAUCCACUGCACCACCUGCAUGCUGUUGGAUGGCAGUGGGGUGUCCAAGCAUGUGGAAGGCCUAUCCGCUGUGGCGGCGCAGCUCAGCUCUGAAAGGAGAACAAUUCCAAGGACCAACCACGUAUACCACAACUCCUAAACCACUGUAAGAUUGUAAUUAAAUUGCUUUAUCAAUCAAUCAUAAGCUACAAUUAACCAGUGUAAUUUCCAUGUGCAACACCAGAGACCUUUUGAUUGAAUUGGUGGUAUUUUUCUGACCCAAAUCAGUUCAUAGUCAUGCUAGCCUGAUACAAUUAUCAUAUCCUUUUGUCCUGUCAAUAGAUGGGCUUUUGUCAUGUCAUGUUGAUGGUCUUUUGUCCUGUCAAGCAGAUGGUUAAUUACUGGACAAGUAGAGCAUGGCAUUUUUCAUGUGCAAUAGCCUCGAUCCACACUCACAAGCCGCAGAGGCUACUUCAACUCAAGUGGCUUGAUAAGUUUUUUACUAUGUGUACUCAUGUAUUAUUUAGGUCAGAAUAGUAUCAUAUUUGAUUGGUGCCCUCAGUUCAUAACACACACUAAUAGGUUACUUCUUUCUGGCUUUAACUUUGAAGCCUAAAUAAGUAUCUUUUUAUUGGCACUCAUGUAUUAUUUAGGUUAGAAUAGUAUCAUAUUUGAUUGUGCUUGCAGUCAUUUGUGAUUCUCAGUUCGUGUAUAAUAUAUGUUCGCAAGACAUAAAUUUAGAACUUUUGGCACAUAUGUACUUUAAUAUUCUUGCACACUUUUAUUCCUUGAUUUUUUUUCCAUUGAAGAUGUGUCAAGUUAGUCUAUAAUUAUUUCAUCAGAGCUCAUAACAUGGCAUGGUUUGAAGCAUCAACCAAUAGCUUCAUUCGUUGUGCUCCUGGGACCUGGACAUAUCCUUCAUGCCAAUAAGUUUAUUUAGUGAUGACACCUGAACGUGUAACUCAUAUUUCUUUAGAAAUUUAAAAGUUUUUUUCUUAUACUGAUGGUUCAUUGUGCGGUGUGGUAACCCUGAUUGACAUGAUUGUGAUGAUAGUUUUGUUGGUAUGGAUUUUCAGAAGUCAAGCACACAUACUCAUGAACGUUGUGCUGCCUAUUUGUUAUCCAUCCAUACUGCAUAAGGUUUUCAUGGAUGGCUGUUGAGCCAAUCUCAAAUGAAUAGCUGGAUAUCAGAUGUAGCGCCAUCAUGUGUCCCUAACAAAAUUGAAGUUUUUUCUUUGGUAGGACUGGGAAGUUCUGUAGAUUAUAAUCAUAAUUACUAAAGAUGAGGGCAACCUUAUCUCCGACACCUGUCAGAGCUUGAUAUAUGAAGUGCCGUGCAGUGGCAUGUGGAGCAGGUUUUGUGACUUUUUUCCCGUUGCAACGCACCUGAAGGUCUGAGGUAAACUACUCACACAUCAUCGGAGGGGCCAUGGAGUUGGUGUA
Molecule: long non-coding RNA, 2073 nt
Organism: Triticum aestivum (bread wheat)
Lineage: Eukaryota; Viridiplantae; Streptophyta; Magnoliopsida; Poales; Poaceae
Exons: 3
Source: RefSeq, a predicted model, not a curated record